UAGCUCAGCAGCCCCUCUUGAUGAUUCCUCUUCCUGAGUGGCUCUAGUGAUGAGCAGACUGAGCCUCUAAGAAGUUGACUGAAGGGGCUGGAGAGAU
Molecule: small nucleolar RNA, 97 nt
Filed under: Jaculus jaculus (lesser Egyptian jerboa)
Lineage: Eukaryota; Metazoa; Chordata; Mammalia; Rodentia; Dipodidae
Description: Small nucleolar RNA SNORD125 (ENSJJAG00000006384.1)
Rfam family: Small nucleolar RNA SNORD125
Source: Rfam by way of RNAcentral